This is a long non-coding RNA of Aegilops tauschii subsp. strangulata, 1220 nucleotides long. RefSeq lists it as uncharacterized. NCBI's taxonomy places the organism in Eukaryota, Viridiplantae, Streptophyta, Magnoliopsida, Poales, Poaceae. The record is from RefSeq and is a predicted model, not a curated record.
ACUACAUGUGAGUUCGGUGCCCCGCAGAGGGCAUUCUUGGGAUUUUGCAUAUCCUCACGCCACGUGGCUUCUACCAAUUUGUUGCUUCGUCCCCAACCAGUGAGACAGCUAGGGUUUCUCUCCCGUCUCACUUCUCUGUCUCUCUCACUCGUGUCUUUCUUUCAAUCUGCUCUCCACUGCCUGUUCUCCCCACCGACCCCGGCCAGCUCCGACUACCUGCGCCGCCGCCCUCUACUGGUACAAGGACACAUCUGCCCCCUUCGCCGAUACAUCGUGCCCUUCAGCCGUUAGGGUCUCACGCAAUCAUCCGGCCACCUACCUUAAGGAGGAGGUGGAGGACGAUCAACGACUCAUUAUGCCGCCAUCCCGUGUCCUCGCCGGCAAAUCAGGAGACGUGGUCUUGAAGAGGCGCUCCUGGAGCGAGGUAAUAUCCUUUCUUAUCCCCUCCCCAACUCAGGCCCCAACCUGCUACCCCUCACCUCUCUACUUUGAAGUGAUGGCGUUGCUCCAGUCGGGACAUGAGGACAUGUACACCGUUGUUGAGAGGCCACUCCAGCUCGCAUAGACCGCCACCGUCCUGGAGAUCCUCUACUGUCUUGUCGGGAUGGUGAGGUCGCCAAUGUUGGCCACGCUGCCACAGCUCAGGUCGCGGCUCUUCGUUACCCGGGGUAUCCCCUCGAACUUUCCCGAGACCAGGACACACAUUCUAGAGAGCUCCUUGGUCAUCGGCUGGUCCAUCACGAGUUGUGGUGCAAGGCUGCAGGCUACAUUUGUGACUGAGAGGGCAAGACUGGGGAGGCUGAGGAGGAGGAGACCAGAGAGCCAUGACGUCGAGGUGGAAGGAGCCAUGAUCGCUGCUAUCGACAACAUGGUCACUUUGUCUGAUUGGUUAGCCUGUCACUCUCGCUUCUCUUGCAGUCGUGCAUCCCCAGGGCAUGGGCGCCGAUAUGAAUGACAAGGUUUCAUAUGGAUGAGGGCGGUGAUUUCGAACUGUCAUAGUCGGUGUUGGAGGUGCUAGGGUUCGGCGUUGCUUGCACUUAGAAUUCUUUUUCAUACAUUGGACUAAGAUCAAAUGCCAAACAUACAUGACCAUAGUUGGGUAGUUUCGACGUCUUCAGACAUGAUGUGUCUAUACAAGCGAAUUGGACAUUUCCUCGUGUGAAAUCAAGCAACUUUAUCUUUUCGUUCAUUCAACGAACCCUGCCAUCAAUUAUUAUAUG